UAUAGUUUGAUCAUGGCUCAGGACGAACGCUGGCUGGCGUGCCUAAUACAUGCAAGUCGAGCGAACAAGAAGGAGCUUGCUCCUUUGACGUUAGCGGCGGACGGGUGAGUAACACGUGGGCAACCUACCUUAUAGUUUGGGAUAACUCCGGGAAACCGGGGCUAAUACCGAAUAAUCUAUUUUACUUCAUGGUGAAAUACUGAAAGACGGUUUCGGCUGUCGCUAUAAGAUGGGCCCGCGGCGCAUUAGCUAGUUGGUGAGGUAAUAGGCUCACCAAGGCGACGAUGCGUAGCCGACCUGAGAGGGUAGAUACGGCCACACCAGGGACUGAGACACGGCCCAGACUCCUACGGGAGGC
Molecule: ribosomal RNA, 358 nt
Filed under: uncultured bacterium
Lineage: Bacteria
Description: bacterial SSU rRNA
Rfam family: Bacterial small subunit ribosomal RNA
Source: RNAcentral